GGAGGCUUCGCCUAGUCCGGUCUAUGGCGCCGCACUGCUAAUGCGGUUGGGAGUGACCCUCCCUCGCGGGUUCAAAUCCCGCAGCCUCCG
RNAcentral lists this transfer RNA (90 nucleotides) under Prauserella alba. RNAcentral's name for it is "tRNA-Ser". It matches the Rfam family "tRNA". Rfam says of the family: Transfer RNA (tRNA) molecules are approximately 80 nucleotides in length. Their secondary structure includes four short double-helical elements and three loops (D, anti-codon, and T loops). The record is from RNAcentral. RNAcentral also lists the same sequence under 2 other names. Lineage: Bacteria; Bacillati; Actinomycetota; Actinomycetes; Pseudonocardiales; Pseudonocardiaceae.